AGAGUUUGAUCCUGGCUCAGAACGAACGCUGGCGGCAGGCCUAACACAUGCAAGUCGAGCGAGACCUUCGGGUCUAGCGGCGGACGGGUUAGUAACGCGUGGGAACGUACCCUUUUCUGCAGGAUAGCCACUGGAAACGGUGAGUAAUACUGCAUACGCCCUUCGGGGGAAAGAUUUAUCGGAGAAGGAUCGGCCCGCGUUAGAUUAGAUAGUUGGUGGGGUAAUGGCCUACCAAGUCUACGAUCUAUAGCUGGUUUGAGAGGAUGAUCAGCAACACUGGGACUGAGACGCGGCCCAAACUCCUACGGGAGGCAGCAGUGGGGAAUCUUAGACAAUGGGCGCAAGCCUGAUCUAGCCAUGCCGCGUGAGUGAUGAAGGCCUUAGGGUCGUAAAGCUCUUUCGCCUGUGAAGAUAAUGACUGUAGCAGGUAAAGAAACCCCGGCUAACUCCGUGCCAGCAGCCGCGGUAAUACGGAGGGGGUUAGCGUUGUUCGGAAUUACUGGGCGUAAAGCGCGCGUAGGCGGACAUUUAAGUCAGAGGUGAAAUCCCAGGGCUCAACCCUGGAACUGCCUUUGAUACUGGGUGUCUUGAGUUCGAGAGAGGUGAGUGGAAUUCCGAGUGUAGAGGUGA
Molecule: ribosomal RNA, 630 nt
Filed under: uncultured Alphaproteobacteria bacterium
Lineage: Bacteria; Pseudomonadati; Pseudomonadota; Alphaproteobacteria
Description: bacterial SSU rRNA
Rfam family: Bacterial small subunit ribosomal RNA
Source: RNAcentral